Molecule: ribosomal RNA, 751 nt
Filed under: uncultured bacterium
Lineage: Bacteria
Description: bacterial SSU rRNA
Rfam family: Bacterial small subunit ribosomal RNA
Source: RNAcentral
CAGCAAUGCCGCGUGUGUGAAGAAGGCCUUCGGGUUGUAAAGCACUUUUAUCAGGAGCGAAAACCUGUCGGUUAAUACCCGGCGGGCCUGACGGUACCUGAGGAAUAAGCACCGGCUAACUUCGUGCCAGCAGCCGCGGUAAUACGAAGGGUGCAAGCGUUAAUCGGAAUUACUGGGCGUAAAGCGUGCGUAGGCGGUUUGUUAAGUCUGCUGUGAAAUCCCCGGGCUCAACCUGGGAAUGGCAGUGGAUACUGGCAGGCUAGAGUGUGUCAGAGGGUGGUGGAAUUCCCGGUGUAGCGGUGAAAUGCGUAGAGAUCGGGAGGAACAUCAGUGGCGAAGGCGGCCACCUGGGACAACACUGACGCUGAGGCACGAAAGCGUGGGGAGCAAACAGGAUUAGAUACCCUGGUAGUCCACGCCCUAAACGAUGCGAACUGGAUGUUGUCUCAACUCGGAGAUCAGUGUCGAAGCUAACGCGUUAAGUUCGCCGCCUGGGGAGUACGGUCGCAAGACUGAAACUAAAGGAAUUGACGGGGGCCCGCACAAGCGGUGGAGUAUGUGGUUUAAUUCGAUGCAACGCGAAGAACCUUACCUGGCCUUGACAUGUCUGGAAUCCUGCAGAGAUGCGGGAGUGCCUUCGGGAAUAAAACACAAGUGCUGCAUGGCUGUCGUCAACUCGUGUCGUGAGAUGUUGGGUUAAUCCCAACGACGCACCCUUGUCUUAGUGCACCCUAUGGUGGAACUCUAAGAG